This 28-nucleotide non-coding RNA is filed under the name Homo sapiens (human). The record is from RNAcentral. Lineage: Eukaryota; Metazoa; Chordata; Mammalia; Primates; Hominidae.
UGACAGUCAAGGCUGACUUGUUGACUGA